GGACGCAGAGCUCAGUUGGUAGAGCAGCUGACUCUUAAUCAGCGGGUCCUAGGUUCGAGCCCUAGUGCGUCCACCA
This 76-nucleotide transfer RNA is filed under the name Alphaproteobacteria bacterium. RNAcentral describes it as "tRNA-Lys". It matches the Rfam family "tRNA". Rfam says of the family: Transfer RNA (tRNA) molecules are approximately 80 nucleotides in length. The record is from RNAcentral. Lineage: Bacteria; Pseudomonadati; Pseudomonadota; Alphaproteobacteria.